This 396-nucleotide ribosomal RNA is filed under the name uncultured bacterium. RNAcentral's name for it is "partial 16S ribosomal RNA". It matches the Rfam family "Bacterial small subunit ribosomal RNA", at positions 523 to 917 of the family's 1533-position model. The record is from RNAcentral.
AUACGUAGGGGGCGAGUGUUGUCCGGAAUGAUUGGGCGUAAAGGGCGCGUAGGCGGCCCGGUAAGUCUGGAGUGAAAGUCCUGUUUUUAAGAUGGGAAUUGCUUUGGAUACUGUCGGGCUUGAGUGCAGGAGAGGUAAGUGGAAUUCCCAGUGUAGCGGUGAAAUGCGUAGAGAUUGGGAGGAACACCAGUGGCGAAGGCGACUUACUGGACUGUAACUGACGCUGAGGCGCGAAAGUGUGGGGAGCAAACAGGAUUAGAUACCCUGGUAGUCCACACUGUAAACGAUGAAUGCUAGGUGUAGGGGGUAUCGACCCCUUCUGUGCCGCAGUCAACACAAUAAGCAUUCCGCCUGGGGAGUACGGCCGCAAGGUUGAAACUCAAAUGAAUUGGCGGG